UGCCAGCAGCCGCGGUAAUACAUAGGGUUCAAGCGUUGUCCGGAAUUACUGGGCGUAAAGCGUGCGCAGGCUGUUUUACAAGUCAGAUGUGAAAUCCCCGAGCUCAACUUGGGAACUGCGUUUGAAACUGUAAGACUAGAGUGUGUCAGAGGGGGGUAGAAUUCCACGUGUAGCAGUGAAAUGCGUAGAUAUGUGGAGGAAUACCAAUGGCGAAGGCAGCCCCCUGGGAUAACACUGACGCUCAUGAACGAAAGCGUGGGGAGCAAACAGGAUUAGAUA
RNAcentral lists this ribosomal RNA (279 nucleotides) under uncultured bacterium. RNAcentral describes it as "partial 16S ribosomal RNA". It matches the Rfam family "Bacterial small subunit ribosomal RNA", at positions 506 to 784 of the family's 1533-position model. The record is from RNAcentral.